GCCUAGGUGGCUCAGUGGUUGAGCAUCUGCCUUCAGCUCAGGUAGUAAUCCUGAAGACCUGGGAUCAAGUCCCACAUUGGGCU
Molecule: transfer RNA, 83 nt
Filed under: Canis lupus familiaris (dog)
Lineage: Eukaryota; Metazoa; Chordata; Mammalia; Carnivora; Canidae
Also listed under: 1 other name
Rfam family: tRNA
About the family: Transfer RNA (tRNA) molecules are approximately 80 nucleotides in length. Their secondary structure includes four short double-helical elements and three loops (D, anti-codon, and T loops). Further hydrogen bonds mediate the characteristic L-shaped molecular structure. tRNAs have two regions of fundamental functional importance: the anti-codon, which is responsible for specific mRNA codon recognition, and the 3' end, to which the tRNAs corresponding amino acid is attached (by aminoacyl-tRNA synthetases). tRNAs cope with the degeneracy of the genetic code in two manners: having more than one tRNA (with a specific anti-codon) for a particular amino acid; and 'wobble' base-pairing, i.e. permitting non-standard base-pairing at the 3rd anti-codon position.
Source: Rfam by way of RNAcentral